AGUGAACGCUGGCGGUAGGCCUAACACAUGCAAGUCGAACGGCAGCACAGGAGAGCUUGCUCUCUGGGUGGCGAGUGGCGGACGGGUGAGGAAUACAUCGGAAUCUACUCUGUCGUGGGGGAUAACGUAGGGAAACUUACGCUAAUACCGCAUACGACCUACGGGUGAAAGCAGGGGAUCUUCGGACCUUGCGCGAUUGAAUGAGCCGAUGUCGGAUUAGCUAGUUGGCGGGGUAAAGGCCCACCAAGGCGACGAUACGUAGCUGGUCUGAGAGGAUGAUCAGCCACACUGGAACUGAGACACGGUCCAGACGCCUACGGGAGGCAGCAGUGGGGAAUAUUGGACAAUGGGCGCAAGCCUGAUCCAGCCAUACCGCGUGGGUGAAGAAGGCCUUCGGGUUGUAAAGCCCUUUUGUUGGGAAAGAAAUCCAGCUGGCUAAUACCCGGUUGGGAUGACGGUACCCAAAGAAUAAGCACCGGCUAACUUCGUGCCAGCAGCCGCGGUAA
This 506-nucleotide ribosomal RNA is filed under the name uncultured bacterium. RNAcentral's name for it is "partial 16S ribosomal RNA". It matches the Rfam family "Bacterial small subunit ribosomal RNA", at positions 29 to 523 of the family's 1533-position model. The record is from RNAcentral.